AACGAACGCUGGCGGCAGGCUUAACACAUGCAAGUCGAACGCCCCGCAAGGGGAGUGGCAGACGGGUGAGUAACACGUGGGAACGUACCCUUUACUACGGAAUAACGCAGGGAAACUUGUGCUAAUACCGUAUGUGCCCUUCGGGGGAAAGAUUUAUCGGUAAAGGAUCGGCCCGCGUUGGAUUAGCUAGUUGGUGGGGUAAAGGCCUACAAGGCGACGAUCCAUAGCUGGUCUGAGAGGAUGAUCAGCCACAUUGGGACUGAGACACGGCCCAAACUCCUACGGGAGGCAGCAGUGGGGAAUAUUGGACAAUGGGCGCAAGCCUGAUCCAGCCAUGCCGCGUGAGUGAUGAAGGCCUUAGGGUUGUAAAGCUCUUUCACCGGGAGAAGAGUAAUGACGGUAUCCGGAGAAGAAGCCCGGCUAACUUCGUGCCAGCAGCCGCGGUAAU
Molecule: ribosomal RNA, 448 nt
Filed under: uncultured bacterium
Lineage: Bacteria
Description: bacterial SSU rRNA
Rfam family: Bacterial small subunit ribosomal RNA
Source: RNAcentral